Molecule: long non-coding RNA, 200 nt
Organism: Sinocyclocheilus anshuiensis
Lineage: Eukaryota; Metazoa; Chordata; Actinopteri; Cypriniformes; Cyprinidae
Exons: 2
Source: RefSeq, a predicted model, not a curated record
AUUUUUCUUUUCUGUUUGCAGGAAGAAGAUUUGGUGUUGAUAGAGGAGGCAACAUCUUCAAGGCAAAACCUUAGACCUGAUGCAACAUCAUCCAAUGUUGCAAUCACCCUCAGGAGGCACUUGAAGACCAGUGUCCAAUAUGCACAGGAACAUUUCCAGUGUCAGAAGUAGAACUGCCAUGCCAGCUUUUGUGGAGAAAG